AUGUCGUCUACCAAGUGGCUGUGGCGCGUGAAGAGGCUGCUCGACAUGGAGCCGAAGAGGUGCAUGCGCUCCACGCUCGCAACGAUCCACAGCAACGCCGACAAGAUCGUCUGUGAGCGCAGGGUGAGAGAGACGGCUGGGUUGGCGCGCAGUGACGACGUUCUGUCGCGCUUGGCCGCCGCCGGCGAGCACAGUGACGAGAGCCUCCGCGACGUGGUCACCAACUUCAUCCUCGCCGGCCGUGACACGACCUCGUCCGCGCUGACCUGGUUCUUCUGGUUACUGUCCACGAGACCCGACGUGGAAGACAAGAUCAUGUGCGAGGUCCACGCGUCUGGCCAAGGUGCGUCGACCUUCACCUUGGAGGAGCUGCGCGAAAUGCACUACCUCCGUGCGGCCAUCACCGAGUCCAUGCAGCUGUACCCACCGGUGGCCGCCGACGUGCACAGCUGCAAGGAGGACGAUUUCCUUCCGGACAGCACUUUCGUCGGGAAAGGGUGGCUGGUGACAACUGGGGGAAGAGGACUGCGAGGAGUUCCAGCCGGAGAGGUGGCUGGACGAGGAGGGCGUGUUCCGGCCGGUGGCUGGACGAAGAGGGCGUGUUCCACGCGGGGCCGAGGAUGUGCCUCGGCAAGGACAUGGCCUAGCCACAAAUGA
RNAcentral lists this ribosomal RNA (657 nucleotides) under Triticum aestivum (bread wheat). RNAcentral's name for it is "partial small subunit ribosomal RNA". Lineage: Eukaryota; Viridiplantae; Streptophyta; Magnoliopsida; Poales; Poaceae. The record is from RNAcentral.